ACAAUCUUCUCUUGGUUUGUUUCUGUAUAAAACAGGAAUUUUCACAUCAAUACUGGCAGAUAAGCAAAACUUGCAAGCUCUUAUUGUCCUAAACUGCAGCAGUUACAUAUGAUCAAUACUAGCACAAUUCCGAGUGAACUGGGAUAAAACUGGAAGAGGUUAAGAGAAGCACAUAGCUGAAAAAGUUAGAAAGGAACCUUCAGCUGCUAGAUUUGCUACAA
Molecule: unclassified non-coding RNA, 221 nt
Filed under: Hevea brasiliensis (rubber tree)
Lineage: Eukaryota; Viridiplantae; Streptophyta; Magnoliopsida; Malpighiales; Euphorbiaceae
Source: RNAcentral